UGGAGAUGUACAUAAUGGGCAAGCAUAUGGUUCUUUGUGCAUACAUGUGAAUUUUCUUUGUGAGUGUGAGAGUGUUCUUUGAUGCUAAGUCCUUAAUUUAUAUUCAAUCUUUUGAUUUGAGUGUGUGGACUAUUUCUUCUUGUGAGGGCACUUGUUUCAUGAUAGAUAGGUGAUUUUAUUAACUUUCUUUGAUGAGAGUAGGUGAGCAAGCUUAAA
RNAcentral lists this long non-coding RNA (216 nucleotides) under Solanum tuberosum (potato). RNAcentral's name for it is "long non-coding RNA (STUB_LNC008157)". Lineage: Eukaryota; Viridiplantae; Streptophyta; Magnoliopsida; Solanales; Solanaceae. The record is from RNAcentral.